AGCCAGUGUGGUGUAAUGGUUAGAGUGUUGGACUAGGACUCGAGAGACCUGGGUUCGAAUCCUCGCUUGGCCA
Non-coding RNA from Podarcis lilfordi (Lilford's wall lizard), 73 nucleotides. The record is from the annotation of a GenBank genome assembly. Lineage: Eukaryota; Metazoa; Chordata; Lepidosauria; Squamata; Lacertidae.